RNAcentral lists this ribosomal RNA (854 nucleotides) under human gut metagenome. RNAcentral describes it as "bacterial SSU rRNA". It matches the Rfam family "Bacterial small subunit ribosomal RNA", at positions 89 to 937 of the family's 1533-position model. The record is from RNAcentral.
AAUCGAGCGGCGAACGGGUGAGUAACACGUAGGUAACCUGCCUUUUAGUUUGGGAUACCCGAUGGAAACGUCGGCUAAUACCGGAUACGUACUUUGGAGGCAUCUCCGAAGUAUAAAAGGGGCCUUAAAGCCUCGCUAAUAGAUGGACCUGCGGCGCAUUAGUUAGUUGGUGAGGUAACGGCCCACCAAGGCGAGGAUGCGUAGCCGACCUGAGAGGGUGAUCGGCCACAUUGGGACUGAGACACGGCCCAGACUCCUACGGGAGGCAGCAGUAGGGAGUUUUCGGCAAUGGGGGAAACCCUGACCGAGCAACGCCGCGUGAGUGAUGAAGGUCUUCGGAUCGUAAAGCUCUGUUGUGAAAGACGAAUGACAGACCGAGGAAAUGCGGUUUGUUUGACGGUACUUCACCAGAAAGCCACGGCUAACUACGUGCCAGCAGCCGCGGUAAUACGUAGGUGGCAAGCGUUAUCCGGAAUUAUUGGGCGUAAAGAGUGAGCAGGCGGUUGCGUAAGUCUGAAGUCAAAUCCUGUGGCUUAACCACAGUUCGCUUUGGAAACUGCGCGGCUAGAGUGCGAGAGAGGUAAGUGGAAUUCCAUGUGUAGCGGUGAAAUGCGUAGAUAUAUGGAGGAACACCAGUGGCGAAGUCGGCUUACUAGCUCGAUACUGACGCUCAGUCACGAAAGCGUGGGUAGCAAAUAGGAUUAGAUACCCUAGUAGUCCACGCCGUAAACGAUGAGAACUAAGUGUUGGGGAAACUCAGUGCUGAAGUUAACACAUUAAGUUCUCCGCCUGGGGAGUACGCUCGCAAGAGUGAAACUUAAAGGAAUUGACGGGGGCCCGCACAAGCGGUGGAG